Long non-coding RNA from Capsicum annuum, 2086 nucleotides. RefSeq lists it as uncharacterized. Lineage: Eukaryota; Viridiplantae; Streptophyta; Magnoliopsida; Solanales; Solanaceae. The transcript has 3 exons. The record is from RefSeq and is a predicted model, not a curated record.
UGAAGAAUUGCAGGUGACAACUAUUUGUAGAUUGGACCAUAAUAAAUAUUGAACCAUCUUAGAAACGUCAUUUGCUUCCAAUACUAGUUGAUCCAUUACAAUAUCCACUUGUCCAAGACCAAGAAUUGUGUCAUUUGUUUUGAUACACUUUUUUUGUUUUCGUUUUCAAUCUGGCGUCCGAUACCCGCACUAUAGCCCAUUAAUCCGGAUUAACGCCGGGUAGAACUCCAUUCGGGGGUAGCGCUCUCUACCAAGGAUUUUUCCAUACCCAGGGCUCGAACCCGAGACCUCUGAUUAAGGAAGGAGCAACUCCAUUCACUGCACCACAUCCUUUAGUGAUAUUUUGAUACACUUGUAACUGCUAUAGCAAAUACCAAAUACCUAAUAUUAACAUAUUUUCUUUUCCAUUACAAUUUUCCUCCUCCAACACUUGUGGUAUGAACGAAGUGAUGGCCAGUCAAGAACUCUCCAUUCAGAAGAUAAAAGUUGACGAGGAUGUUGCCGUGAAUGUGUUGGUAUACAAUCGGAUUAAAAAUAAGGAUAUCCGAAACAAGGCGAAAGUAGCUUCGAUGGAGGACAAAAGCAAGAUGCAAGCAUGAGAUGGUUCGAGCAUGUGAAAAGGAGAUGACAGAUGUCCCGAUGCAGAGAUGUGAGAGGUUGAUUAUGAAUAGAGUUGGGUAGAAGUGAUUAAACAGGACAUGACGUUGUAUGAGCCCAAAGAGGACACAACUUUAGAUAGUAGGCCGCAGAGGACACGAUUUAGGAUAGAAAUUUAAUAGGUAGUAGAGCAUCGUCAUGCUUAUCCUUUCACACGAGUGCAGUGGUAUUUCCUGUGUUAUGUUACUCUCGACCGUCUCUUGUACUUCAAUUAUCCCAUUUUGCUGUGAUUUCUUUUUCGAUCUAUUUUGAUAUAUUUUUCUUUGAAUGGAGGCUCUCUACCUCCCAAUAUAACUCAAGGACACAACAGUAUGAGCCUAUAUAACAGAUCCACUACAAGUAAGGCUAUCUCAACUUCAAAUAGUAAGACCAGCAAAUCUAUUUAUUAUUAAUAAGAGAGGAUAAAGCCCCCGCAAUAAGCAAAGUAUCAUCCUUAUAAAAAGCCACUUGGCAUGUUAAUACAAGAAAUUAGUUAGGUUUAGUUAGUAGUUGUAAUUUUUAAAUUAAUUUGUACAUUAUUCUUGGGAGAAUGUGGAGAUUCUUUUAAGAGUUUUCUCUCACUUAUUUAUUAAUAGAUAAUUAUUAUUAUUCUAUUUUAAACUUUAAAAAUGGGGAAGUUAUCAAGUCAGUUUCACCUUCUCAACAAAAAAAAAUAUCAGUUUUAAAAAAUGAUGAAGACACCAUAUCUCUCUGUUGAGCUAAUAAUUUGUAGCACUAUCCCUCUAAAUGGGUGGUUUUGUAUUGAUUUUCUCUAAUUGACCUUUCAAAUUUCUAUAUCUUUUCUGAAUAACUUUUGCAUUAUAAUAGAAACUGCACCUUUCAAAAGACAUCCACCACAGAUCAAUUGUAAUUAGUAAACAAUAGGUUAACUGCUACAGACAUUUUAAUAUUAAAAUAUCACGGAUUCUCAUUCGUUUGAAGAAAUUAGCAAGUGAGAAAAAUCAUGUUACAAUUUAUAAAGGCUUGCAAAUACUCUCUUGCUUCACUUGGCGGUUAUCGAUGAGUUUAUAUUAAUUUACAUAAUAUUUUGAGUACGGAAAUCGAGGUUUCUUUUUCGGUAUCAUCAAAAUUUAAUACAUCUGCGAAAAAUUGGCAUCACAAGGUUGGGAAGUAGUAGUUCACAUCAGAGCAAGUUAAAUGAUGCUAAUUGUCAAAGUCUAAGUUAUAGGUAUAAGUUAGUAACAAAUGAACAAGUUGGUGAUGGAAGGCACCUUUUGACAGCCCUAGCAGGACUUGUAUUAGCAGAGUCUUGCUCAGCAUUAAAGUGUAGCUCAGCAAAAAAUAUAGCUUGGAUUACCUUCAGUACAGAAAGCUCAAGUAAUCUUCAAUAGCUUUUUUCUUGGUCAUUUUGUUAGUUAGUGUAAUUUACUUUGUCAUUGUGUUAGUUGAUAUAAGUCUAUGUUAAUUAAUGUAAAUUCUACAGAGAUAA